GAGUAGUAAAUGGUUUGGACAGGAAACUUAAAGAAUUUGGCGGUAUACAUUCUACUUAGAGGAAUAUGUUUUUUAAUUGAUAAUCCACAUGUAUUUUACUUAAAUUAAUUUAUUUUGUAUAUCUCCGUCUUAAAAGAAUUUUUUAAAAUAUUUUUUAGUUUUUAUAAUUUAAAAUAAGUCAGGUCAAGGUGCAGAUUAUAUUUAAGUUAAAAUGUAUUACAAUAAAUUUAUUUUUAGAUUAAAAUUAAAAUGAUUUUAUGAAAUUGGAUUUAUAAGUAAUUUUUUUUAUAUAAUAAUUAAUUGAAUUUUGUUAAUGUGUAUGUACACAUC
This 330-nucleotide ribosomal RNA is filed under the name Trichadenotecnum malayense. RNAcentral's name for it is "partial 12S rRNA". Lineage: Eukaryota; Metazoa; Arthropoda; Insecta; Psocodea; Psocidae. The record is from RNAcentral.